Molecule: ribosomal RNA, 407 nt
Filed under: uncultured bacterium
Lineage: Bacteria
Description: partial 16S ribosomal RNA
Rfam family: Bacterial small subunit ribosomal RNA
Source: RNAcentral
GUUGAACGCUGGCGGCGUGCCUAACACAUGCAAGUCGAGCGGCGCUUCGGACGGGUGAGUAAUGCCUAGGAAUCUGCCUGGUAGUGGGGGAUAACGUCCGGGGACGGGCGCUAAUACCGCAUACUAGCAGAUCAGUUUAGGUCGUAUUAGCUAGUUGGUGGGGUAAAGGCCUACCAAGGCGACGAUCCGUCUCUGGUCUGAGAGGGUGAUCAGUCACACUGGAACUGAGACACGGCCCAGACUCCUACGGGAGGAAGCAGUGGGGAAUAUUGGACAAUGGGCGAAAGCCUGACCCAGCCAUGCCGCGUGUGUGAAGAAGGUCUUCGGAUGGUAAAGCACUUUAAGUUGGGAGGCGGUACCAAAACAGUAAGCACCGGCUAACUACGUGCCAGCAGCCGCGGUAAUAC